CCUACGGGGGGCAGCAGUGAGGAAUAUUGGUCAAUGGACGAGAGUCUGAACCAGCCAAGUAGCGUGAAGGAUGACUGCCCUAUGGGUUGUAAACUUCUUUUAUAAGGGAAUAAACCGCGGCACGUGUGCCUUUUUGCAUGUACUUUAUGAAUAAGGAUCGGCUAACUCCGUGCCAGCAGCCGCGGUAAUCCGGAGGAUCCGAGCGUUAUCCGGAUUUAUUGGGUUUAAAGGGCGCGUAGCCGGGGGGUUAAGUCAGGGGUGGAAGUGGGCGGCUCACCCGUAAAAUGGCAGUUGAUACUGGGAGGCUGGAGUGGAGUUGAGGGAAGCGGGAGUCGUGGUGGAGCGGUGAAAUGCUGAG
This 358-nucleotide ribosomal RNA is filed under the name uncultured bacterium. Its description in RNAcentral is "partial 16S ribosomal RNA". It matches the Rfam family "Bacterial small subunit ribosomal RNA", at positions 338 to 693 of the family's 1533-position model. The record is from RNAcentral.